AUUGGCUUGUGGUGGCGCAUUGGAUCCCUGCUCAGGCAGCGACAGUGUCCCACGCAAGCCUCUUCAGUUGUUGGCUCGAGCAUGUCUCGACCAUUGUUGGUUUCUUGUGCUGAAUACCUACUGGGAAGGCAUUCUUAGGUUGCGAAUGAUAAUCUUCCGCCUUGUGCUGUGCCCCUCGUGGGUGCGGUGUCGGGUGGACCUCGAACCACGCUUCGUGUCCCAAGUGCCCUGCACAUGUUUGUGUUCGGUUUGUUGGCCCAUGUUGUCGUGUGUGAUCUCUCGGAUACGGAACAUUGUGCGGGCAUGAGGCCUCGGCCUCUAUCUUGCCUAAACAACAAGCGUUCUACGCUUCGUGCGAACGACUGACGCAGGUGUGUUGAACGGGCACUCGUGUCCGGCUCAUGUGCCUGCGUUGUCCGUAAAGAA
This 426-nucleotide unclassified non-coding RNA is filed under the name Orthocarpus tolmiei subsp. tolmiei. RNAcentral's name for it is "partial external transcribed spacer". The record is from RNAcentral. Lineage: Eukaryota; Viridiplantae; Streptophyta; Magnoliopsida; Lamiales; Orobanchaceae.